Globicephala melas (long-finned pilot whale) is the source of this 772-nucleotide long non-coding RNA. RefSeq lists it as uncharacterized. NCBI's taxonomy places the organism in Eukaryota, Metazoa, Chordata, Mammalia, Artiodactyla, Delphinidae. The record is from RefSeq and is a predicted model, not a curated record.
CCCGCGCCAGCCCUCCCGGGGGAGCUGGAGCCCGGGUCGUGCGGUUCCCCACCCGGGGCCACCCGGACGCCCACCCCCACGCCCACCGGCCUCCUCACCUUCGGGACCUGAGGGAGCGACGGGCCAGCGGAGCCCUGAGUCCUGGCCGGGCUGGGUGGGGGGAGGCGCUGUUCUUCCCCGCGCUAGCUGCGCCCGGGGUUCCGCAGCACCCGCCCGGGCUGUGGCGCCAUCAGCUACUGCGAGGCUGCGGGGCGGUCGGGCCGGGGCUCCGGGGGGCUCCCGGGCGCCGAGGGGGGUCCGGGGCGGGCUCCAGGCGUAAACACCCAGCAACGUGACCGGAACUGGCGAACGAGCAUAUCAGGAUGGAUCCUGGAGGGACUUCCCUGGUGGCACAGUGGUUAAGAAUCUGCCUUCUGGACUUCCCUGGUGGCACAGUAGUUAAGAAUCCGCCUGCCAAUGCAGGGGACAUGGGUUCGAGCCCUGGUCCGGGAAGAUCCCACAGGCCGCGGAGCAACUAAGCCUGUGCACCACAACUACUGACCCUGUGCUCUAGAGCCCGCGAGCCACAGCUACUGAGCCUGUGUGACAGAACUACCGAAGCCCGCGUGCCUAGAGCCUGUGCUCCACAACAAGAGAAGCCACCACAAUGAGCAGCCCGCACACCGCAACAAAGAGUGGCCCCCGCUCGCCACAACUAGAGAAAGCCCGUGCACAGCAACAAUGAAGACCCAAUGCAGCCAAAAAUAAAUUAAAAAAAAAAAAAAAAAAAGAA